GUACCGCCUGCCCUGUGGAAACCCUAAACGGCCGCGGCACUAAAACCGUGCAAAGGUAGCACAAUCACUUGUCCCCUAAAUGAGGACCCGUAUGAAAGGCAACAUGAGGGAAGACCUGUCUCCUAAGGCCAGCCAAUGAAAUUGAACUGCCAGUACAAAAGCUGACAUAUAUAAGCAAGACAAAAAGACCCUGUGGAACUUGAACAAAUUUCUUAUACAAAAUAAGCAAUAGUUUCAGUUGGGACAACUUUAGAAAAAAUAAACUUCCUAACCCACCAAGACCCACAAGUCUAAAACACCCACCUAUGACCCAGUCACACUGACUAACGAACCAAGCUACCCCAGGGAUAACAGCGCCACCUUCUAAAAGAGUCCAUAUCAACAAGAAGACCUACGACCUCGAUGUUGGAUCAGGGUAUCCUGACGGUGCAGCAGCUGUCAACGGUUCGUUUGUUCAACGACUAACACCCU
Molecule: ribosomal RNA, 471 nt
Filed under: Calumma furcifer
Lineage: Eukaryota; Metazoa; Chordata; Lepidosauria; Squamata; Chamaeleonidae
Description: partial 16S ribosomal RNA
Rfam family: Bacterial large subunit ribosomal RNA
Source: RNAcentral